ACGGCUCAGUAACACGUGGACAACCUACCCUCAGCACGGGGAUAAACCCGGGAAACUGGGUAUAAUACCCGAUAGUUCUGGUUUGCUGGAAUGCUUCCAGGACGAAAGCUCCGGCGACUGAGGAUGGGUCUGCGGCCUAUCAGGUAGUAGUGGGUGUAAUGUACCUACUAGCCUACGACGGGUACGGGUCGUGAGAGCGAGAGCCCGGAGAUGGAUUCUGAGACACGAAUCCAGGCCCUACGGGGUGCAGCAGGCGCGAAAACUUUACAAUGCUGGCAACAGCGAUAAGGGGACCUCGAGUGCCAGGAUACAAUCUUGGCUGUCGUAAUGCCUAAAAAGCAUUGCAUAGCAAGGGCCGGGCAAGACCGGUGCCAGCCGCCGCGGUAACACCGGCGGCUCGAGUGGUAACCGCUAUUAUUGGGUCUAAAGGGUCUGUAGCCGGCCGGAUAAGUCUCUUGGGAAAUCCAGCUGCUCAACAGUUGGGCUUUCAGGAGAUACUGUUCGGCUCGAGGCCGGGAGAGGUGAGAGGUACUUCAGGGGUAGGGGUGAAAUCUUGUAAUCCUUGAAGGACCACCAGUGGCGAAGGCGUCUCACCAGAACGGACCUGACGGCAAGGGACGAAAGCUAGGGGCACGAACCGGAUUAGAUACCCGGGGUAGUCCUAGCCGUAAACGAUACUCGCUAGGUGUCAGCCACGGUGCGACCGUGGUUGGUGCCGUAGGGAAGCCGUGAAGCGAGCCACCUGGGAAGUACGCCGCAAGGCUGAACUUAAGGGAAUUGGCGGGGGGAAG
Molecule: ribosomal RNA, 791 nt
Filed under: uncultured archaeon
Lineage: Archaea
Description: bacterial SSU rRNA
Rfam family: Archaeal small subunit ribosomal RNA
Source: RNAcentral